Lycium barbarum (goji berry) is the source of this 1148-nucleotide long non-coding RNA. RefSeq lists it as uncharacterized. Lineage: Eukaryota; Viridiplantae; Streptophyta; Magnoliopsida; Solanales; Solanaceae. The transcript has 5 exons. The record is from RefSeq and is a predicted model, not a curated record.
AACAAAUUCCCAAAAUUGGCCCGUGCUGAGGGCAGGGGUUAACUUAACCCAAUUAAAAAUACUAAGUAGACACUUAGCUUUGAGGGAGGAGUUUGGAGUUGAGAUUCAUCAAAACAUCUUCCAUUUCUUUCAGUCCACAAACAUCAAAAGAAUAAUAGCAGGAAUCAUCUACCAUAUCUUCUUGAUGGCCUUACCCCUAAUCUGUCUUGAAGUUUGCUUGAUGUUCUUGAGGGUGGUGAGAUUUAAACACAUAGUAUUUUAAUAGGUAAUUUGAAGCACAUAAAUUUCAACAUCAGCUGUCAGCGAUUUCGUGAGUAGCUGCCUCUUUCCACAUAAUCCCCCAUAUUUGGGCAAAAAGGAUGAUAUAACUCUUCAGUGUCCACGGGUGUAAGAGACUCUUUCCUUGUGGUAGAAUCCUUAUUCAGCAACAACCUCAUAGAAGCGUUGUGCAGCGUGACGUGAGGAAUGAUAUCAGGCGUACAGUCAAGAACAUCCCCAAGUACGCUUCAGCAGAGCUCUACAUAGAUAAUGUUUUGCCACGCGUCAAGGAGAAGAAGAUAAUGUCACUAAAACCUUUUGUCGAUCGACUUGGGAAACUGGAUUCCCAUACUCCUUUAAUUGACCUGAUAAACUAAUUGCGUAUCAUUCAGGUAUGAUAAUAUUCCUCCAGAUAUAAACAGGCUGAGGUGCAGGGUCAACUAUCAUGCUCUGAAGUUUCUUCCCAAGAUUGAGCAGAUGGUUGAUCAACUCGUUUCAAGGAUGAGAAACCGCACUGGUAGUUCAAAUCCUUUCAUGGCUCUUCACUUGAGAUUUGAGAAGGGAAUGGCGGGUCUAUCAUUCUGUGAUUUUGUUGGAACAAGGUCGGAGAAAGCUCUCAUGGCGGCAUACAGAAAGAAAAAAUGGCCUCGGCGAUUUAAGGUUAUCUAGAUUAUGAUCACUAUUCCUAUAAAGCCGACAGUGACCGUUUCAUUUGUGAUAUAUUUGUCUUCCUUUUUGUUUACUUUGUUGAUUAUUUCAGUUUAUUUUGUUGAUGAUUUUGUUUAAUGAACUUUAUUAUAUAUUGGUUAGUGAAGAUUAUGAACUAGGCGUUGGCCUGUUGCCUUUCAGUUUAUUAGACAUUUGUUUGAGAUUUCAAUUUAUUUUGUUGA